AAGUCGUAACAAGGUCUCUGUAGGUGAACCUGCGGAGGGAUCAUUACACAACAAAAAUAUGAGGGUGUGGUUUGCUGGCAACAGCGUCCGCCCCAAGUAUUUUUCACCCAUGUCUUUUGCGCACUUUUUGUUUCCUGGGCGAGUUCGCUCGCCACCAGGACCCAACCAUAAACCUUUUUUUAUGCAGUUGCAAUCAGCGUCAGUAUAAUAAUUCAAUUUAUUAAAACUUUCAACAACGGAUCUCUUGGUUCUG
Molecule: unclassified non-coding RNA, 253 nt
Filed under: Exserohilum rostratum
Lineage: Eukaryota; Fungi; Ascomycota; Dothideomycetes; Pleosporales; Pleosporaceae
Description: partial internal transcribed spacer region
Rfam family: Eukaryotic small subunit ribosomal RNA (bases 1-46)
Source: RNAcentral